CGGACGGGUGAGUAACGCGUGGGCAACCUGCCUUGUACAGGGGGAUAACAGUUAGAAAUGACUGCUAAUACCGCAUAAGACCACAGCACCACAUGGUGCAGGGGUAAAAACUGAGGUGGUACAAGAUGGGCCCGCGUCUGAUUAGCUGGUUGGUGAGGUAACGGCUCACCAAGGCGACGAUUGGUAGCCGGACUGAGAGGUUGAACGGCCACAUUGGGACUGAGACACGGCCCAG
RNAcentral lists this ribosomal RNA (235 nucleotides) under uncultured bacterium. Its description in RNAcentral is "partial 16S ribosomal RNA". It matches the Rfam family "Bacterial small subunit ribosomal RNA", at positions 99 to 334 of the family's 1533-position model. The record is from RNAcentral.